Molecule: ribosomal RNA, 253 nt
Filed under: uncultured bacterium
Lineage: Bacteria
Description: partial 16S ribosomal RNA
Rfam family: Bacterial small subunit ribosomal RNA
Source: RNAcentral
UACGUAGGGUGCAAGCGUUGUCCGGAAUUAUUGGGCGUAAAGAGCUCGUAGGCGGCCUGUUGCGUCCGCUGUGAAAGCCCGGGGCUUAACCCCGGGUCGGCAGUGGAUACGGGCAGGCUAGAGGUAGGUAGGGGAGAAUGGAAUUCCCGGUGUAGCGGUGAAAUGCGCAGAUAUCGGGAGGAACACCAGUGGCGAAGGCGAUCAUCUGGGGUUGUUCUGACACUGAGGAGCGAAAGCUAGGGGAGCAAACGGG